UUGCUGGAUAAAAAGGAUAACCUGAGAAAGUUCCGAACCAAAAAAGAGAAAAGGAAGGAAGGAAGGAAGGAAGGAGAGAGAGAACGAGAGAGAUCCGAGGAACAGCAAAUCCGUUAAUCAUCUCUUCAUUAUAUGCUGAAAAAUUUGAAUGAGAAGUUGCACAGUGAAAGACAUGGAGAAGAAAAUUCCAUUUGGAUACAGCAUUAGCAGAUAGAACAUGGGGAGCCGCUCAAGGGGAAACACUGCUUCUUUGUUGGCUUUGAAGCUGGAGGACAGAAACAAGAGACAAGGAAUAUGCGUGGCCUUGAGAAACUAGAAACAGUCUUCUGUUCACAGCCAACAAAGAAAGGGGAGCUUCAAACUUAACAACCGUAAGUAGCUGAAUCCUGCCAAUAACCCAGAUGAAGAAGGAAAUGGAUCCUCCCCUCAAACCUCCAAAUAGACAGCCCAAUGACACAUCUGAUUUCAGCCUGAUGAGACUUAUACUGUAUUUCCGAUCUAUAGAACUGUCAGGUAAUAGAUUUUUUUAAGUGUACUAAUUUUCAGGGUACUGUAUUGCUCGGGCUGGCAUAAAAAAUACCAUACAUCAGGUGUCUUAAACAACAGACAUGUGUUUCUCAAAGUUUUAGAGGCCGGGCAGUCCAAGAUCAAGGUACCAGCGGAUUCAGUUCCUUGUGAGAGUUCUCUGCUGGCUCAUAGAAGGCCACCCUUUCACCACAUCCUCACAUGGAAGAGAAAGCAAGUUCUGAUGUUUCUUUCUCUUCUUAUAGGAACAGUAAUCCCAUCAUGGGGACCCCACCCUCUCGAUCUCAUCCAAACCUCAUUACCUCCCAAAGCCCCCAUCUCCAAAUACUAUCAUAUUAGGGCUUAGGGCUUCAACAUAUAAAUGGUGAGGGGGUGAGGAGAGAUGACAAACAGGCAGCAGUAGAAAACUAAUACACAUUUUAAUUACAUUGUCACCCUAGUUAGGAAGCUAGGUCUGAGCAAUGACUAAGGAGCCUGCCUAGGAGGAGCCCAAAUUAUAAACCCCCUUCAGUUCAAGAAUCAGACUAUAGGGCCACCUGGGUGGCUCAGUCAGCUGAGCAUCCGACUUCGGCUCAGGUCACGAUCUUGUGGUCUGUGAGUUCGAGCCCUGAGUCU
This is a long non-coding RNA of Felis catus (domestic cat), 1140 nucleotides long. RefSeq lists it as uncharacterized. Lineage: Eukaryota; Metazoa; Chordata; Mammalia; Carnivora; Felidae. The record is from RefSeq and is a predicted model, not a curated record. The transcript has 3 exons.